CAGCCAUCAUUUAAAGAAAGCGUAAUAGCUCACUGGUCGAGUCGGCCUGCGCGGAAGAUGUAACGGGGCUAAACCAUGCACCGAAGCUGCGGCAGCGACGCUUAUGCGUUGUUGGGUAGGGGAGCGUUCUGUAAGCCUGUGAAGGUGUGCUGUGAGGCAUGCUGGAGGUAUCAGAAGUGCGAAUGCUGACAUAAGUAACGAUAAAGCGGGUGAAAAGCCCGCUCGCCGGAAGACCAAGGGUUCCUGUCCAACGUUAAUCGGGGCAGGGUGAGUCGACCCCUAAGGCGAGGCCGAAAGGCGUAGUCGAUGGGAAACAGGUUAAUAUUCCUGUACUUGGUGUUACUGCGAAGGGGGGACGGAGAAGGCUAUGUUGGCCGGGCGACGGUUGUCCCGGUUUAAGCGUGUAGGCUGGUUUUCCAGGCAAAUCCGGAAAAUCAAGGCUGAGGCGUGAUGACGAGGCACUACGGUGCUGAAGCAACAAAUGCCCUGCUUCCAGGAAAAGCCUCUAAGCAUCAGGUAACAUCAAAUCGUACCCCAAACCGACACAGGUGGUCAGGUAGAGAAUACCAAGGCGCUUGAGAGAACUCGGGUGAAGGAACUAGGCAAAAUGGUGCCGUAACUUCGGGAGAA
Molecule: ribosomal RNA, 630 nt
Filed under: Escherichia coli
Lineage: Bacteria; Pseudomonadati; Pseudomonadota; Gammaproteobacteria; Enterobacterales; Enterobacteriaceae
Description: partial 23S ribosomal RNA
Rfam family: Bacterial large subunit ribosomal RNA
Source: RNAcentral